AUACGUAGGUGGCGAGCGUUGUCCGGAAUUACUGGGUGUAAAGGGAGCGUAGGCGGGAGCGCAAGUUGAAUGUCAAAUCCAUCGGCUCAACCGGUGGCCGCGUUCAAAACUGCGAUUCUUGAGUGGGGUAGAGGCAGGCGGAAUUCCUAGUGUAGCGGUGAAAUGCGUAGAUAUUAGGAGGAACACCAGUGGCGAAGGCGGCCUGCUGGGCCUUAACUGACGCUGAAGCUCGAAAGCGUGGGGAGC
Molecule: ribosomal RNA, 246 nt
Filed under: uncultured bacterium
Lineage: Bacteria
Description: partial 16S ribosomal RNA
Rfam family: Bacterial small subunit ribosomal RNA
Source: RNAcentral